GACGAACGCUGGCGGCGUGCUUAACACAUGCAAGUCGAACGGAAAGGCCCUGCUUUUGUGGGGUGCUCGAGUGGCGAACGGGUGAGUAACACGUGAGUAACCUGCCCUUGACUUUGGGAUAACUUCAGGAAACUGGGGCUAAUACCGGAUAGGAGCUCCUGCUGCAUGGUGGGGGUUGGAAAGUUUCGGCGGUUGGGGAUGGACUCGCGGCGUAUCAGCUUGUUGGUGGGGUAGUGGCUUACCAAGGCUUUGACGGGUAGCCGGCCUGAGAGGGUGACCGGCCAGAUUGGGACUGAGAUGCGGCCCAGACUCCUACGGGAGGGAGCAGUGGGGGAUAGUGCACAAUGGGGGGAAGCCGGAUGCAGCAACGCCGCGUGCGGGAUGACGGCCUUCGGGUUGUAAACCGCUUUCGCCUGUGACGAAGCGUGAGUGACGGUAAUGGGUAAAGAAGCACCGGCUAACUACGUG
RNAcentral lists this ribosomal RNA (468 nucleotides) under uncultured bacterium. RNAcentral's name for it is "partial 16S ribosomal RNA". It matches the Rfam family "Bacterial small subunit ribosomal RNA", at positions 28 to 507 of the family's 1533-position model. The record is from RNAcentral.